RNAcentral lists this ribosomal RNA (454 nucleotides) under uncultured Porphyromonadaceae bacterium. Its description in RNAcentral is "bacterial SSU rRNA". It matches the Rfam family "Bacterial small subunit ribosomal RNA", at positions 341 to 792 of the family's 1533-position model. Lineage: Bacteria; Pseudomonadati; Bacteroidota; Bacteroidia; Bacteroidales; Porphyromonadaceae. The record is from RNAcentral.
ACGGAAGGCAGCAGUGAGGAAUAUUGGUCAAUGGGCGAGAGCCUGAACCAGCCAAGUCGCGUGAAGGAUGAAGGUUCUAUGGAUUGUAAACUUCUUUUGUUCGAGGGUAAAGUGAGGGAUGCGUCCCUUAUUGCAAGUAUCGAACGAAUAAGCAUCGGCUAACUCCGUGCCAGCAGCCGCGGUAAUACGGAGGAUGCGAGCGUUAUCCGGAUUUAUUGGGUUUAAAGGGUGCGUAGGCGGGAUGUUAAGUCAGCGGUGAAAGUUUGCGGCUCAACCGUAAAAUUGCCGUUGAAACUGGCGUUCUUGAGUGUAAACGAGGUAGGCGGAAUGUGACGUGUAGCGGUGAAAUGCUUAGAUAUGUCACAGAACCCCGAUUGCGAAGGCAGCUUACCAGCAUACAACUGACGCUGAGGCACGAAAGCGUGGGUAUCAAACAGGAUUAGAUACCCUGGUA